Molecule: small nucleolar RNA, 65 nt
Filed under: Podarcis lilfordi (Lilford's wall lizard)
Lineage: Eukaryota; Metazoa; Chordata; Lepidosauria; Squamata; Lacertidae
Description: Small nucleolar RNA SNORD104
Rfam family: Small nucleolar RNA SNORD104
About the family: The members of this family belong to the C/D class of snoRNAs which contain the C (UGAUGA) and D (CUGA) box motifs. Most of the members of the box C/D family function in directing site-specific 2'-O-methylation of substrate RNAs.
Source: Rfam by way of RNAcentral
GCUGUGAUGAUUCUUUUUUGGCGUGUUAGACUGCUGAUGCAGAUGACGAGACACAGAAUCUGAGC